RNAcentral lists this ribosomal RNA (302 nucleotides) under uncultured bacterium. Its description in RNAcentral is "partial 16S ribosomal RNA". It matches the Rfam family "Bacterial small subunit ribosomal RNA", at positions 508 to 807 of the family's 1533-position model. The record is from RNAcentral.
GCAGCCGCCGCGGGAAUACGAAGGGUGCAAGCGUUGUCCGGAAUUAUUGGGCGUAAAGCGCGCGCAGGUGGUUUAAUAAGUCUAAUGUGAAAGCCCACGGCUCAACCGUGGAGGGUCAUUGGAAACUGUUAAACUUGAGUGCAGGAGAGAAAAGUGGAAUUCCUAGUGUAGCGGUGAAAUGCGUAGAGAUUAGGAGGAACGCCAGUGGCGAAGGCGGCUUUUUGGCCUGUAACUGACACUGAGGCGCGAAAGCGUGGGGAGCAAACAGGAUUAGAUACCCGGGUAGUCCCUGUCUCUUAUAC